Molecule: transfer-messenger RNA, 335 nt
Filed under: Lysobacterales bacterium
Lineage: Bacteria; Pseudomonadati; Pseudomonadota; Gammaproteobacteria; Lysobacterales
Description: partial transfer-messenger RNA
Rfam family: transfer-messenger RNA
About the family: Bacterial tmRNA, also known as 10Sa RNA or SsrA, is named for its dual tRNA and mRNA-like properties. Its role is to liberate the mRNA from a stalled ribosome.
Source: RNAcentral
GGGGGCGCAUUUGGUUUCGACGUGGGUGUUGAACCCUGGGGUGCAUGUCGAGGGGGUAGCUUUCCUCGUAAAUCCAGCUGCAAGACUUAUAGUCGCCAACGACGAAGUCUACGCUCAAGCGGCCUAAGGCCGCUUAAUCCGCCCCACCUUGUGUCCAUGCUCGGUGCAUGCGGAUCAGAAUCAUGGAAUCGCGAGCAGACGGGUCUGACGUCGGCAGCUAAAACCACCAGACUGGCUACACGUUAUCCCCGCCGAUUGGGGCUUCGUGUAGUAAGACUAAAGAAUCGGCUAAACAUGUAGAUCUCCAGAUGUAGGGCUUGCGGACGGGGGUUCGA